AAGGAAAAACCUUUGCAAUACCUCUUGCUUUUCGAGGGGUUUCAUAGUAUAAUAAGUCUACCUUAAUUGGGUCGUGUGCCGUGUGGGUCCUGUGCGACAGCGCUCCGUGAACCAUGUCAGGCGGGGAACCGAGCAGCAUUAAGCGGUCAGCCUGUGCGCCGCAGAUCGCCUGCACGGUGCAUGACCGAGUUAAGGUAUUUUUAUGUUUUUCUUU
This 214-nucleotide signal recognition particle RNA is filed under the name Candidatus Fimenecus stercoravium. Its description in RNAcentral is "signal recognition particle sRNA large type". It matches the Rfam family "Bacterial large signal recognition particle RNA". Rfam says of the family: The signal recognition particle (SRP) is a universally conserved ribonucleoprotein involved in the co-translational targeting of proteins to membranes. Lineage: Bacteria; Bacillati; Bacillota; Clostridia. The record is from RNAcentral.